UGUUCGGGUUGUCAUGCCAAUGGCACUGCCCGGUAGCUAAAUGCGGAAGAGAUAAGUGCUGAAAGCAUCUAAGCACGAAACUUGCCCCGAGAUGAGUUCUCCCUGAGACUUAAAGUCUCCUGAAGGAACGUUGAAGACGACGACGUUGAUAGGCCGGGUGUGUAAGCGCAGCGAUGCGUUGAGCUAACCGGUACUAAUGAACCGUGAGGCUUAACCUU
Molecule: ribosomal RNA, 218 nt
Filed under: Escherichia coli
Lineage: Bacteria; Pseudomonadati; Pseudomonadota; Gammaproteobacteria; Enterobacterales; Enterobacteriaceae
Also listed under: 4 other names
Description: partial 23S ribosomal RNA
Rfam family: Bacterial large subunit ribosomal RNA
Source: RNAcentral